RNAcentral lists this small RNA (27 nucleotides) under Bombyx mori (domestic silkworm). RNAcentral describes it as "ovarian small RNA-12710". Lineage: Eukaryota; Metazoa; Arthropoda; Insecta; Lepidoptera; Bombycidae. The record is from RNAcentral.
AUUGGAUCUAGUAUUCGCUUCCCCUGC